AACGCGAAGAACCUUACCUGGGCUUGAAACGCUAGGAUUAUCUCCAUGAAAGUGGAGUAGGCCCUUCGGGGUACAACUAGUACAGGUGCUGCAUGGCUGUCGUCAGCUCGUGUCGUGAGAUGUCGGGUUAAGUCCCUUAACGAGCGAAACCUUUGCCCUUAGUUACCAUCGGGUUAUGCCGGGGACUCUAAGGGGACUGCCGGUGUCAAACCGGAGGAAGGUGGAGAUGACGUCAAGUCCUCAUGGCCUUUAUGCCCAGGGCCACACACGUGCUACAAUGGCGUCGACAGAGCGAACCUAAAACGCAAGUUCAUGGAAAUCGCAUAAAUGACGCCCCAGUUCAGAUCGGAGGCUGCAACUCGCCUCCGUGAAGUUGGAAUCGCUAGUAAUCGCGGAUCAGCUACGCCGCGGUGAAUGUGUUCCCGGGCCUUGUACACACCGCUAGUC
This 447-nucleotide ribosomal RNA is filed under the name uncultured bacterium. RNAcentral describes it as "bacterial SSU rRNA". It matches the Rfam family "Bacterial small subunit ribosomal RNA", at positions 958 to 1398 of the family's 1533-position model. The record is from RNAcentral.